CUUCCAAAAUGAAAGGUGAUUUACUGUCGGUGAGAAGUAUGCGACAACAUUCUUGAGCGCAUAACAAAAAUACGUGAUCUGCAAUGGGAUGAUUAAUAGAGGCAACGCCAGUUAAAAAUUGAUUAACGAGUUCAUGUAAUUCAUGAUCAGCUGGAACCUCCUGCAUACUGGUAUAAGGCAUUUGGGCAGCCAGCUGAAAUAACUGCCCAAUAAUUAUGAGCAAAUUUCUAGCGUAGUUCAAUGCUGUCUGAUUAGCUUCAUUCUCGACUGUAUUAUUAAGAUUGGAGUUCAAAGCGUCCGUACUGUCGGCACUGUCGGUACGUAAUCCAUUAAGACUGGUAAAAGAAUUGUUACUCAU
Molecule: non-coding RNA, 358 nt
Organism: Schizosaccharomyces pombe (fission yeast)
Lineage: Eukaryota; Fungi; Ascomycota; Schizosaccharomycetes; Schizosaccharomycetales; Schizosaccharomycetaceae
Source: the annotation of a GenBank genome assembly